This is a long non-coding RNA of Saccostrea cuccullata (small rock oyster), 358 nucleotides long. RefSeq lists it as uncharacterized. The record is from RefSeq and is a predicted model, not a curated record. The transcript has 3 exons. NCBI's taxonomy places the organism in Eukaryota, Metazoa, Mollusca, Bivalvia, Ostreida, Ostreidae.
AGCACCAAAGACCCAGAUUUUAACAUCAUUUCCAGGUUGAACAAGAUGAAGCAGAGUAAUAAAUGGGUAGGCUUUACCUGAUUGGGUGAAUUCAGCUUCCUCGAACCCGGGAGAACUUGGUAUCUGAUUAGCGGGGGCAUUUUCUCUAUAUAAGAAGAAGAUGGAGACUCGCUAUGCACCUGAUAUAUUUUGUCGGACAGAUUUCUGUACAUUGCAGUGACAACUGUAUCCAGAUUUCAUCACAGGAAUGAAAGUUUUUCACUCUUUGGAACAGUACCUGCAGCAGGGAGGGGUCAUUCAUUAAGAUGGUCACAGAUUCCAAGACACUGAAGUGACAGGGUUCAAAUUUCAUACAUGU